CAGCAGCCGCGGGAAUACGAAGGGGGCUAGCGUUGCUCGGAAUUACUGGGCGUAAAGGGAGCGUAGGCGGAUGAAUUAGUCAGGGGUGAAAUCCCGGGGCUCAACCUCGGAACUGCCUUCGAUACUGUUCAUCUUGAGUAUGGGAGAGGUGUGUGGAACUCCGAGUGUAGAGGUGAAAUUCGUAGAUAUUCGGAGGAACACCAGUGGCGAAGGCGGCUCACUGGUCCAUUACUGACGCUGAGGUGCGAAAGCGUGGGGAGCAAACAGGAUUAGAUACCCCUGUAGUCCCUGUCUCUUAUAC
Molecule: ribosomal RNA, 301 nt
Filed under: uncultured bacterium
Lineage: Bacteria
Description: partial 16S ribosomal RNA
Rfam family: Bacterial small subunit ribosomal RNA
Source: RNAcentral